This is a long non-coding RNA of Aptenodytes forsteri (emperor penguin), 1020 nucleotides long. RefSeq lists it as uncharacterized. The transcript has 2 exons. The record is from RefSeq and is a predicted model, not a curated record. NCBI's taxonomy places the organism in Eukaryota, Metazoa, Chordata, Aves, Sphenisciformes, Spheniscidae.
CUUCAGUGGCUCUCCAUGCAAUGCAAGCAAGUUACUCUGUGCUGCCAAGAAUGCUGGAUUCUUACUAGCAACAGUCAGCAGUUUCUUUUUGGUUGCGAAAGCCCUAAGAGGCUUCGGCUGUCUAGCAGCUGUGUGUCAGAGCCUGAGGUGGACGAUGACAAAAGCAGCAGCACCAGCUGUGUGUGCAACACAUGUACACAUUCAUACACUCCUGCAGGGAGGGGUGUCUCCCACUUUCCCUUGUACUGCAAUGCAGCCUGCUGGCCCCUGCUCUGCUGCGCUGCUGCUAAGAAAUUGUUAUGAAGCCAAGCUUACUGUAAUGAUGAAUUAAAAGAUAUUUUUUGUUACAAGUAUUACGUUGGCAAUGUGGCAGAGUAGAACUUCUCAAGGCAAUACACAAUACUAAGAAAUUUGGGGGUUAAUUACAUAAUGGUACUAAGUUAGCCUAACAUCAGCGUCCUCUUUUGCAGAAAGACAGCCUUGGUUACAAAGAAAAUGCACUGGGAGAUCCCACACCUACCGAUGGAAGAGAUUGUGUAACAAUACAUCGAGGAAAGUCUUUCACCGUGCUGAACUGGAAAUUUGCCGUGGUGACAGGUAAGCUUCUUUCCUGUUGUGUCAGUUGAGCUCUCUGCGCAUCAGUCAAUGCUGCUAAAGAACUGGGCCCAUCUUGAACAGGCCCACCAUCUUACAGCAUCGCUGCGGGGAGACUGGGAAGGAAACGUCAUUACCCACUGCGCCUACAUGGACUGACAGAGCAAUUUGCACCCUUCGGCGUGCUGAGGCAAGGAGCUGGCUCACUCGGCGGCACAGCCACCUCGCAAUACACGUGCCAGCGAAGAGACGCUGAACAACCCCAGCUCCCGGCCACCUCGGAUCCGCUGGAUGGACUAGACGGACACACAGCCUCAACGACCCGACACCACCCACAGCCACCCUGCAGGAGAAGGCUGCAGCCUUCAGGUCCCCCUGCCCCCUGUGAACACGUACGUGUGUAUUAAUAAACUUGUAACAACAACU